RNAcentral lists this long non-coding RNA (2768 nucleotides) under Canis lupus familiaris (dog). RNAcentral's name for it is "lncRNA (ENSCAFG00000050328.1)". Lineage: Eukaryota; Metazoa; Chordata; Mammalia; Carnivora; Canidae. The record is from RNAcentral.
AGCCUGAACUCACAGAAAAUCUGGAUUUCUUUCUUGCUUCACCAGUCAUUCGUUAAGCAACCCUAGGAAUAUAGAUGAUACUACUACUUUUUUCCUAUUCAUCUCACCAAUAUCAUUACUCAUUUCUGUUAGAAGCAGAGUGUGAGAGUUUGCAAGAUGACAUAUAUUUUAAUUGCAGAAGGCAAAGAAAAGAAGGUUGAGAGCAAAUAGAAGUAGAUUUGUCCCACUGUGGGAAGAGGAGAGAAUUUGCACUGAUAGCUCCAGUAAGUUGGAUGAGUAACAUCUAGAGAAACUCAUUAUUGCUCAAGCAACUGGCAAAUCUGAGGAUGCAUAUGAAAGUCAAGUAAACGAAAGGAUUCCUAGAGAAAAAAAUGGAAGUGUUUUUAACCUUAAUGGUAAAAUGUUUUUGUCAGUAACUUAUAUCCAAUUGGAUUCCAACAUGUUAUUGAAUUUUCCGAAUAAAUAAAAGUUUUAUGGUUCAUUUAAAAAAAUUUAUGUUUCUUUCCAUCAUUGAAAUCUCUGUCCUGGAGUCUGUACAUUAACUUGUCACUAGUCAUUUUAUGGUCUUGAAUGUCACUAAACUAUAAUGUGAUUAAAUAUACACUAUUGCAAAACAUUUUUUAUGUUAUAAAAAUUUAUAUUGAAGUCUUGUAAUCAAAGACUUUGGUAAAUCUGUGAGAGUAAUUUUAAUUUUAUAUUUUAGAUGUAAAAUGUCUUAGUUUACAUUUUAAUUGUCAUUCAUAUUGUUGACCAUUAUUUGUUCUUGAUAAAGGUACAACUUGCUUUUCUGGGGUUUUGCAUUACCAUUAAUUCUAUGGUUUGGUGCCAUAGUUCAGGCUCCAGACUCUGGAUCCGAACUCUAUGUCACUUGACUUUGUGACCUUGGGCAAGUUACUUGACUCCUCUGUGUUUAAAUUUCCUAAUCUGCAGAAUUGAGAUACUAGUGAUAAUACAUACCUCAUAGAAUUAUUGGGGAGAUUAAGUGAACUGAUAGAUUUAAAGUGUGUAGAGCAGUGUUUGGCAUGCAGAGAUUAUUAUAAGGUUUAAUUAUUAUUACUUAACUAUUGCUGAAGUUUACUCCAACUCUGCUCAUAUUACUUGCUUAUUAUGUAUUUAAGGAUGUAUCAAAUGAUUCUGCAAGUCAGUAGGAAUAGGACACUUCAUGAAGAAGAGGAAAGGUUAGGGCUUAGAAGCCAUGCAGUGUAGAUAGGGGAGAGGAAGGAGCAGGGCUUUAGUUGUUAGACACACCUGGAUUAAACAAGAUUCUUACUAGUUAUGUAAAUUGGCAACUCACUAAAAUGAAAUCUUUUGCAAAAUGAAGACAAUACAUUUUGAAAUCUUGUAUAAAUGACAUAAUGUCUGUAAAGCACUGGGAAAUGAUGCAAUUUUUUGAAACCUCCUCUCCAUUUUUUAAAGCAGAAAAAAAAUAGUGGAUCUUACAUAUAAUUUUUAACUUUACUUUUUAAAUUAACACUACAUUACAAGCAUAUUUCCAUGUCAUUAAAUAUUUGAUUACAUAAGAAUAUUUAAAAGUUAACAGUUGUUUAUUUUAUUUAACCAGUUCCUAUUUCUGAAUAUUUAUGCUGUUUCCAAUAUUCUCUAAUAUUGGCGAUCAAAUAAUGAAUGUUUAUGGUGAUGAACCUUGGUAUAUCUGUUAUUUGUUUUUAAAAUUUUAUUUAUUUGAGAAAGUGAAAUAAAAUAAAUAAAUAAAAUUAAAAUAUAAAAUUUAUUUAUUUAUUUGAGAGAGAGGGAGAAGGAGAUAGAGCGCGCAAGUGGGAGUAGGGUGGGGAAGGAGGGGCAGAGGGAGAGGGAGAAGCAGACUUCUUGUUGAGCAGGGAGCCUGCUGCAGGGCUUGACCCCAGGACCCUGGGAUCAUGACCUGAGCCAAAGGCAGACGCUUAACCAACUGAGCCACCCAGGUGCCUCCCCCGUAUUUGUAUUUAAUAAGUGAAAUUGUAGGAUCAAUCAAAUAUACAUUUAAUUGUUCUCCAAAAGGCUUGUAUCAGUUACAUUCAACCACGCAAUGGAUGACUGUGCUUGCUUCCCUGCACCCUCACCAACUUGGAUAUUAUUUUUUUUUAAUCACAUCAAACUCCAACAAAAAUAGUAUCUCAUUGCUUUGAUUUGUAUUAUAUCAUUAUUAAUGAGUGUGUUUUCAUAUGAUUGUUGAGCACUUCUUUUUGUGAAUUAUCUUUUCAUUUCUUUGCCUAUUUUUCUACCGCUAGGUUCCUCUUUUUCUUGAUUUAUGAGGGUUCUCUAUAUUUCAGUGAACUAUAAUGCUUUACUAUAAUUAUAUAUAUGUAUAUAUAAUUUGUGUUAUAUUACAGUAUCUUUCUCUGCUCUCCUCUUUCCUCUCAGUUUUAUAAAUAUGGAUUUUAAUUUAUAACUAGAAUAUCAGUACCUAGAUCAGAGAUGGUAUGAGUCAACUAUUCAGAUGGAGUUCUACUCUUAAGUUAGUGUGUAUUAUUAUUUAAAUAACACCUACUGCAAGUGUGAUGUAUGAAGCUGCUUAUUCCCAAUAUGGAAUAAAAGUUGUCUGAAGCCAUGUAGUUAUUUGUAUGUUCAGAAAUGGAACUGUUUCAUGUGUGUGGCUGAACCAAAAUAUAUAUAAGUGAAGUCUUGAUUUUGUUAAUAUCUAUUCAUUUAGAAAUUCAAACAAUAAAAUCAAAAGAAAGAUAAUCCUUCUUUAAAGUCACUUCAUGAGUUUUGUUUGAAUUGGGUGUGUAACUUUGGCCAGGAUUUCAUAUGCUGCCAUAGUUAAGACGUGU